AUGAAAGAAAUAGGAAAGAAGAAGAUCAAAGUUGGGGCGGAAGAACAUUGCAGAAAUCCUGCACAAAACAUCGACGCCCAACCGGCCAAUCCCGUCGCCAUCUCCCUUCCGCAUUACACAGCUGUCACCACCGCGAUUCCGACCACGCCGUCGAUGGCUUCAUCUGAUUCGCGCUUGCUGUCACAGAUCUCUGACCGCCCAGCACGCUGCAGCGCCGCCGUCUCCAUGCGAUAG
Molecule: non-coding RNA, 234 nt
Organism: Vicia faba (fava bean)
Lineage: Eukaryota; Viridiplantae; Streptophyta; Magnoliopsida; Fabales; Fabaceae
Source: the annotation of a GenBank genome assembly